AUCAUUCACAAUGGGGGAAACCCUGAUGGUGCGACGCCGCGUGGGGGAAUGAAGGUCUUCGGAUUGUAAACCUCUGUCUUUAGGGACGAAAAAAUGACGGUACCUAAGGAGGAAGCCACGGCUAACUACGUGCCAGCAGCCGCGGUAAUACGUAGGUGGCAAGCGUUGUCCGGAAUUACUGGGUGUAAAGGGAGCGUAGGCGGGGAGACAAGUUGAAUGUUUAAACUAUCGGCUCAACUGAUAGUCGCGUUCAAAACUAUCACUCUUGAGUGCAGUAGAGGUAGGCGGAAUUCCUAGUGUAGCGGUGAAAUGCGUAGAUAUUAGGAGGAACACCAGUGGCGAAGGCGGCCUACUGGGCUGUAACUGACGCUGAGGCUCGAAAGCGUGGGUAGCAAACAG
RNAcentral lists this ribosomal RNA (399 nucleotides) under uncultured bacterium. Its description in RNAcentral is "bacterial SSU rRNA". It matches the Rfam family "Bacterial small subunit ribosomal RNA", at positions 361 to 775 of the family's 1533-position model. The record is from RNAcentral.